Molecule: ribosomal RNA, 253 nt
Filed under: uncultured bacterium
Lineage: Bacteria
Description: partial 16S ribosomal RNA
Rfam family: Bacterial small subunit ribosomal RNA
Source: RNAcentral
UACAGAGGGGGCAAGCGUUGUUCGGAAUUACUGGGCGUAAAGGGCGCGUAGGCGGCCAUAUAAGUCGGGGGUGAAAGCCUGUGGCUCAACCACAGAAUUGCCUUCGAUACUGUAUGGCUCGAGACCGGAAGAGGUAAGUGGAACUGCGAGUGUAGAGGUGAAAUUCGUAGAUAUUCGCAAGAACACCAGUGGCGAAGGCGGCUUACUGGUCCGGUUCUGACGCUGAGGCGCGAAAGCGUGGGGAGCAAACAGG